AACGAACGCUGGCGGCAUGCCUAACACAUGCAAGUCGAACGAAACCUUCGAGUCUAGUGGCGCAUGGGUUCGUAACGCGUGGGAACCUGCCCUUAGGUUCGGAAUAACUCCCCGAAAGGGGUGCUAAUACCGGAUAAUGUCUUCGGACCAAAGAUUUUUCGCCUUUGGAUGGGCCCGCGUUGGAUUCGCUAGUUGGUAGGGUAAAAGCCUACCAAGGCGACGAUCCAUAGCUGGUCUGAGAGGAUGAUCAGCCACACUGGGACUGAGACACGGCCCAGACUCCUACGGGAGGCAGCAGUGGGGAAUAUUGGACAAUGGGCGAAAGCCUGAUCCAGCAAUGCCGCGUGAGUGAUGUAGGCCGUAGGGUUGUAAAGCUCUUUUACCCGGGAUGAUAAUGACAGUACCGGGAGAAUAAGCUCCGGCUAACUCCGUG
RNAcentral lists this ribosomal RNA (433 nucleotides) under uncultured bacterium. RNAcentral's name for it is "partial 16S ribosomal RNA". It matches the Rfam family "Bacterial small subunit ribosomal RNA", at positions 29 to 507 of the family's 1533-position model. The record is from RNAcentral.